AUGAGUCCACCAUACCUACCUAUAUACGGUAUCUACCUGCCGUUCCAAGUAAAUUUGUAUGUGCCAAACUCUAAACCUUCAAAUAAAUAUCCUGUUUUGUAUGCUCGAAUAGCUCAUGUAUCAACUAGAGCUGUCUGUAUCUUCCAUGUUAGGCAGGUUAUUCUCAAGAGGAGUGGACUCCGCUCCUCACUCAUGAGAAAGUGGCUGGUCACCGGGAUGCCCAGUCCCAUGCUUUAUGCAAAUCAAAUCAAAAUAAUUGCAAACAAAACUCCCCCUGCGACUCUUGUUAGUUGGAGGCACUCGUUGUUUGGAGCAAGCCAUGGAUUGAUACUUGUUGGUGGAAGGGGGAGUAUAAACUUUACCAUUCUGUUUGGGAACCGCCUAUAA
This 387-nucleotide ribosomal RNA is filed under the name Triticum aestivum (bread wheat). Its description in RNAcentral is "partial small subunit ribosomal RNA". The record is from RNAcentral. Lineage: Eukaryota; Viridiplantae; Streptophyta; Magnoliopsida; Poales; Poaceae.